Molecule: long non-coding RNA, 524 nt
Filed under: Phoenix dactylifera (date palm)
Lineage: Eukaryota; Viridiplantae; Streptophyta; Magnoliopsida; Arecales; Arecaceae
Description: long non-coding RNA (PDAC_LNC022072)
Source: RNAcentral
CUCCCCACACGAACCCCUCCUCUCCCUCAAAACUUUUAUAGUUUUAUUCUACAUUAAGAAUGACAUCUCCAUCUUAUGGCACACCAACCCUUUGCCCACUCCUCAAAGAAACUCCUUUGUCAGACCAUUCAUGCAAAACCUCAGAUUUGCAAAAGAAAAGGUCUAAUGCUCAAAAAGAUGCAAAUGGCCAUUAAGUUAAUACUACUAGCAGCAAAACUGACCAAAGACAAGACUCUUUUGAUCAUAAGGACAACAUGGAGUAUCUAAGUAUGAUAUAAAAUGCAAUUGAGACAACGCAGCCAUAAACAAACACAAAAUGCAAUUUUUUUAAGGGAAAAAAGUUACGAUAUUAAUUACAAAGGCACAGCAAAGUUAUGGAACAUAUUACUCAGCAUCCAGUAAUAGCUAUAACAGGAAAAGUAAUGAUAAAAACUACCAAACAGCUAUCCCAUUACCUUGAAACCAUUGCGGCCACAACCCCCGCCCACAGAUGCUUGGUGGACCGGUGGUGUUCAUGGCGCCAG